GAUGAACGCUAGCUACAGGCUUAACACAUGCAAGUCGAGGGGUAACGAGAGGAAAGCUUGCUUUCCUUGUCGACGACCGGCGCACGGGUGAGUAACGCGUAUCCAACCUGCCCCCAACUAGGGAAUAACCUUGCGAAAGUAAGACUAAUACCCUAUAAUUUCCUCAGAUGCCAUCUGACGAGGAAUAAAGAUUUAUCGGUUGUGGAUGGGGCUGCGUCUGAUUAGCUUGUUGGCGGGGUAACGGCCCACCAAGGCAACGAUCAGUAGGGGUUCUGAAAGGAAGGUGCCCCACAUGGGAAAUGAGACACGGGCCAAACGCCUACGGGAGGCAGCAGUGAGGAAUAUUGGUCAAUGGGCGGAAGCCUGAACCAGCCAAGUAGCGUGCAGGAGGACGGCCCUAUGGGUUGUAAACUGCUUUUAUACAGGAAUAAAGUUAGCCACGUGUGGUUAUUUGUAGGUACUGUAUGAAUAAGGACCGGCUAAUUCCGUGCCAGCAGCCGCCGUAA
Molecule: ribosomal RNA, 506 nt
Filed under: uncultured bacterium
Lineage: Bacteria
Description: partial 16S ribosomal RNA
Rfam family: Bacterial small subunit ribosomal RNA
Source: RNAcentral